GACGAACGCUGGCGGCGCGCCUAACACAUGCAAGUCGAACGGAGUCAAGAGGAGCUUGCUUUUCUUGACUUAGUGGCGAACGGGUGAGUAACGCGUGAGUAACCUGCCCUGGAGUGGGGGACAACAGUUGGAAACGACUGCUAAUACCGCAUAAGCCCACGGAUCUGCAUGGAUCUGCGGGAAAAGGAUUUAUUCGCUCUAGGAUGGACUCGCGUCCAAUUAGCUAGUUGGUGAGGUAACGGCCCACCAAGGCGACGAUUGGUAGCCGGACUGAGAGGUUGAACGGCCACAUUGGGACUGAGACACGGCCCAGACUCCUACGGGAGGCAGCAGUGGGGGAUAUUGCACAAUGGGGGAAACCCUGAUGCAGCGACGCCGCGUGGAGGAAGAAGGUUUUCGGAUUGUAAACUCCUGUCGUGAGGGACGAUAAUGACGGUACCUAACAAGAAAGCACCGGCUAACUACG
Molecule: ribosomal RNA, 466 nt
Filed under: uncultured bacterium
Lineage: Bacteria
Description: partial 16S ribosomal RNA
Rfam family: Bacterial small subunit ribosomal RNA
Source: RNAcentral